RNAcentral lists this ribosomal RNA (207 nucleotides) under uncultured bacterium. RNAcentral's name for it is "partial 16S ribosomal RNA". It matches the Rfam family "Bacterial small subunit ribosomal RNA", at positions 568 to 774 of the family's 1533-position model. The record is from RNAcentral.
CGCGUAGGCGGGAUAGCAAGUCAGGUGUGAAAUCCGGGGGCUCAACCCUCGAACUGCACUUGAAACUGUUAUUCUUGAGUGAUGGAGAGGCAAGUGGAAUUCCUAGUGUAGCGGUGAAAUGCGUAGAUAUUAGGAGGAACACCAGUGGCGAAGGCGACUUGCUGGACAUUAACUGACGCUGAGGCGCGAAAGCGUGGGGAGCAAACA